Molecule: ribosomal RNA, 483 nt
Filed under: uncultured bacterium
Lineage: Bacteria
Description: bacterial SSU rRNA
Rfam family: Bacterial small subunit ribosomal RNA
Source: RNAcentral
AUUGAACGCUGGCGGCAUGCCUAACACAUGCAAGUCGAACGGCAGCACGGCAGUAGCAAUACUGUGGGUGGCGAGUGGCGGACGGGUGAGGAAUACGUCGGAAUCUGCCCAGUCGUGGGGGAUAACUAGCCGAAAGGUUAGCUAAUACCGCAUACGACCGAGAGGUGAAAGCGGGGGACCGCAAGGCCUCGCUCGAUUGGAUGAGCCGACGUCGGAUUAGCUAGUUGGAGGGGUAAAGGCCCACCAAGGCGACGAUCCGUAGCUGGUCUGAGAGGAUGAUCAGCCACACUGGAACUGAGACACGGUCCAGACUCCUACGGGAGGCAGCAGUGGGGAAUAUUGGACAAUGGGCGCAAGCCUGAUCCAGCAAUGCCGCGUGUGUGAAGAAGGCCUUCGGUUGUAAGCACUUUAUCAGGACGAAAAGACGUUGGAGUUAAUACUCUGACGUGCUGACGGUACCUGAGGAAUAAGACACCGGCUAAC